Molecule: long non-coding RNA, 844 nt
Organism: Lycium ferocissimum
Lineage: Eukaryota; Viridiplantae; Streptophyta; Magnoliopsida; Solanales; Solanaceae
Exons: 4
Source: RefSeq, a predicted model, not a curated record
UUAAGUUAUUCCAAUGAGAUAUUAUUUGGUAAUGUCGGCACUCAGAUUUGGAUGAAAACUAUCGACCAUCGAUGGUGGUUCCUAGGGCAGAAAUCUAGCGGCAGAAAUAGGUCGUUCGUGGCGCCUCUCCAAUGAACACUCAUUGAUAUCCGACAGUUCGCCGGGGUAAUCUUUCUAUUUAGGCCACCGAAGAUGUUAGUCAUCUGCUAGUCACCGUGCAGAAAGAUAGACUGCAUGGUGGACUUCUUCCUUCUGACGAGUCAUCUCAUAUCAUAAAGAACUAUCAGGCUCUUCAUAAGCAAUGUGGACCUCAUAAUUAUUUUGUGCUUUUGAAAAGGGUCUAGAUCCAACACCAAAUGAGAUACAUUUUGCACGUCCAUACACAAGUCAAAAUCUUUUGUUGAUGAGCAUGCCCGAAUUGUCCAUGAAAUUUGGACGAGUUAGUGAUGCAAUUGAUUCCUACACUGACUGAUCACAUGCUUCAUGUAUUUAUUAAGCGGGCACGUGGACUGAUUUCUUCACCGUCACAUUAGCCAAAUACUCCUAUCAACAACCCAUCAGUUGUGACACUUAUGGUGCAUGCUACUACUAUAGCUAACAUCGACGAGAUUGAUCUUUUAGUUUCAGAUGAUGACUGUAGUACUUACCCGCCCAUUAGUUGUUUAUGGUUUUUUUUUUUUUUUUUUUUUUUUUUGGGAAGGACAAAAUUAUGUAGUAACAAUACUUGAUGGGUUCUUUUCAGUAGUUGAUAGAUGUUUGGUGUUGUGAAUGUUUUGGACUUAAUUAUACAUUUUGGAUUUUGCUAUCUGUUUUGAACCUUUUAUAAAUAUUAUUUUAUUUUUAA